AGACCCGAAACCCGGUGAUCUAGCCAUGGGCAGGUUGAAGGUUGGGUAACACUAACUGGAGGACCGAACCGACUAAUGUUGAAAAAUUAGCGGAUGACCUGUGGCUGGGGGUGAAAGGCCAAUCAAACCGGGAGAUAGCUGGUUCUCCCCGAAAGCUAUUUAGGUAGCGCCUCGUGAAUUCAUCUCCGGGGGUAGAGCACUGUUUCGGCCAGGGGGCCAUCCCGGCUUACCAAUCCGAUGCAAACUGCGAAUACCGGAGAAUGUUAUCACGGGAGACACACGGCGGGUGCUAACGUCCGUCGUGAAGAGGGAAACAACCCAGACCGCCAGCUAAGGUCCCAAAGUCAUGGUUAAGUGGGAAACGAUGUGGGAAGGCCCAGACAGCCAGGAUGUUGGCUUAGAAGCAGCCAUCAUUUAAAGAAAGCGUAAUAGCUCACUGGUCGAGUCGGCCUGCGCGGAAGAUGUAACGGGGCUAAACCAUGCACCGAAGCUGCGGCAGCGACACUGAUGUGUUGUUGGGUAGGGGAGCGUUCUGUAAGCCGUUGAAGGUGUGUCGUGAGGCAUGCUGGAGGUAUCAGAAGUGCGAAUGCUGACAUAAGUAACGAUAAAGCGGGUGAAAAGCCCGCUCGCCGGAAGACCAAGGGUUCCUGUCCAACGUUAAUCGGGGCAGGGUGAGUCGACCCCUAAGGCGAGGCCGAAAGGCGUAGUCGAUGGGAAACGGGUUAAUAUUCCCGUACUUGGUGUUACUGCGAAGGGGGGACGGAGAAGGCUAUGUUGGCCGGGCGACGGUUGUCCCGGUUUAAGCGUGUAGGUGUGUGUUCCAGGUAAAUCCGGUUCACUUUAACACUGAGGCGUGAUGACGAGGCACCACGGUGCUGAAGCAACAAAUGCCCUGCUUCCAGGAAAAGCCUCUAAGCCUCAGGUAACAUCAAAUCGUACCCCAAACCGACACAGGUGGUCAGGUAGAGAAUACCAAGGCGCUUGAGAGAACUCGGGUGAAGGAACUAGGCAAAAUGGUGCCGUAACUUCGGGAGAAGGCACGCUGACACGUAGGUGAAGUGGUUUACCCAUGGAGCUGAAGUCAGUCGAAGAUACCAGCUGGCUGCAACUGUUUAUUAAAAACACAGCACUGUGCAAACACGAAAGUGGACGUAUACGGUGUGACGCCUGCCCGGUGCCGGAAGGUUAAUUGAUGGGGUCAGCGCAAGCGAAGCUCCUGAUCGAAGCCCCGGUAAACGGCGGCCGUAACUAUAACGGUCCUAAGGUAGCGAAAUUCCUUGUCGGGUAAGUUCCGACCUGCACGAAUGGCGUAAUGAUGGCCAGGCUGUCUCCACCCGGGACUCAGUGAAAUUGAACUCGCUGUGAAGAUGCAGUGUACCCGCGGCAAGACGGAAAGACCCCGUGAACCUUUACUAUAGCUUGACACUGAACACUGGUCCUUGAUGUGCAGGAUAGGUGGGAGGCUUUGAAGUGUGGACGCCAGUCUGCAUGGAGCCAUCCUUGAAAUACCACCCUUUAAUGGCUGGUGUUCUAACGUGGGCCCGUGAACCGGGUUGCGGACAGUGUCUGGUGGGUAGUUUGACUGGGGCGGUCUCCUCCUAAAGAGUAACGGAGGAGCACGAAGGUUGGCUAAUCCUGGUCGGACAUCAGGAGGUUAGUGCAAUGGCAUAAGCCAGCUUGACUGCGAGCGUGACGGCGCGAGCAGGUGCGAAAGCAGGUCAUAGUGAUCCGGUGGUUCUGAAUGGAAGGGCCAUCGCUCAACGGAUAAAAGGUACUCCGGGGAUAACAGGCUGAUACCGCCCAAGAGUUCAUAUCGACGGCGGUGUUUGGCACCUCGAUGUCGGCUCAUCACAUCCUGGGGCUGAAGUAGGUCCCAAGGGUAUGGCUGUUCGCCAUUUAAAGUGGUACGCGAGCUGGGUUUAGAACGUCGUGAGACAGUUCGGUCCCUAUCUGCCGUGGGCGCUGGAAGAUUGAGGGGGGCUGCUCCUAGUACGAGAGGACCGGAGUGGACGCAUCACUGGUGUUCGGGUUGUCAUGCCAAUGGCACUGCCCGGUAGCUACAUGCGGAAGAGAUAAGUGCUGAAAGCAUCUAAGCACGAAACUUGCCCCGAGAUGAAUCUUCCCUGAGCCUUUAAGGCUCCUGAAGGAACGUUGAAGACGACGACGUUGAUAGGCCGGGUGUGUAAGCGCAGCGAUGCGUUGAGCUAACCGGUACUAAUGAACCGUGAGGCUUAACCUUACAAC
This 2244-nucleotide ribosomal RNA is filed under the name Salmonella enterica subsp. houtenae. Its description in RNAcentral is "partial 23S ribosomal RNA". It matches the Rfam family "Bacterial large subunit ribosomal RNA", at positions 711 to 2925 of the family's 2925-position model. The record is from RNAcentral. Lineage: Bacteria; Pseudomonadati; Pseudomonadota; Gammaproteobacteria; Enterobacterales; Enterobacteriaceae.